RNAcentral lists this ribosomal RNA (401 nucleotides) under uncultured bacterium. RNAcentral's name for it is "partial 16S ribosomal RNA". It matches the Rfam family "Archaeal small subunit ribosomal RNA", at positions 473 to 873 of the family's 1478-position model. The record is from RNAcentral.
ACACCGGCGGCCCGAGUGGUGAUCGUGAUUAUUGGGUCUAAAGGGUCCGUAGCCGGUUUGGUCAGUCCGCCGGGAAAUCUGAUAGCUCAACUAUUAGGCUUUCGGGGGAUACUGCCAGACUUGGAACCGGGAGAGGUAAGAGGUACUACAGGGGUAGGAGUGAAAUCUUGUAAUCCCUGUGGGACCACCCGUGGCGAAGGCGUCUUACCAGAACGGGUUCGACGGUGAGGGACGAAAGCUGGGGGCACGAACCGGAUUAGAUACCCGGGUAGUCCCAGCCGUAAACGAUGCUCGCUAGGUGUCAGGCAUGGCGCGACCGUGUCUGGUGCCGCAGGGAAGCCGUGAAGCGAGCCACCUGGGAAGUACGGCCGCAAGGCUGAAACUUAAAGGAAUUGGCGGGG